GUUUAUAGCUUUGGGGUAGUUCUUGUCGAGAUCAUUACAGCACUGAAAGUGGUGGACUUUUCCAGGCCCCAGAAUGAAGUGAAUUUGGCUGCUCUUGCCAUUGACAGGAUUGGAAAAGGGAGGUUAGAUGAGAUUAUAGAUCCAUUUCUUGAUAUCCACAGUGAUGCUUGGACCCUUUCUUCUGUGCACCAAGUGGCAGAACUAGCAUUUAUAUGCCUCGCAUUUGAUAGAGACAUGAGACCUUCAAUGAUGGAAGUUGUAGCUGAACUGGAGCAAAUAAGGCUAAGUAGAUGGCCUUCAAUAGAAAUAAAUUGCACAUUUUCAUCGAAUGAAACAUCCUGCUCUUCUUCAUCUAAUAUCAGUGAGAAGCCCCUCAGCUUCACUGAUAAGAAUACUCACGUGGAAAAUAGCAGAGGUUUGUUUACAGAGACCAGUAGUGUGAAGUCAAUGGAAAUGGCGAAGGACAAUUCACCUGUUUCUGCGCAAGAUCCAUGGUUAAGUGAACAAAGCUCACCCUCAUCAAGCAGUCGGAUAAAUACUGUAAUUCAGUGAUUUUCAUUGGAUGCUUAGCUUCAUUUCUCCUGUGAAUAUUAUUAAGGUGAAUUUUGAGAUAAAACAUUUUUAUCCCUUUCAACCACUUCCUUAAGCAGUGGUUAGAAAGUUCAUUAUUCAGAAUGUUAUAG
This 683-nucleotide unclassified non-coding RNA is filed under the name Hevea brasiliensis (rubber tree). The record is from RNAcentral. Lineage: Eukaryota; Viridiplantae; Streptophyta; Magnoliopsida; Malpighiales; Euphorbiaceae.